ACGCACGAAGUGUUUCAUUCCUGUCCUUGAGACUGCGGUGCCACAGAGUUCAUGGGGUUCCCUCUCCUGACUUGGCAACCGUUUUUUUUCUUGCACCCCAGCCGUAGGACUCACCCACAGCGGACCCAGAUUGCAGGUAACAGAUAAUGCACAACCUGCUGCUUCUUGAAGUUCUCAAAGCAGUAUUGUAAACGUCGCCCUGCGGUGAAGAAGGCCUAAGUGGAGACUCCUUGGUCUUUUGAAUACAGCCGUCGUCCCAGACGACCAAAUGAUCCCGGUGGGAGGCGUUGUUGGGCCAGGAAGGCCCAGUGUGGCCUUUGUUGGAUCCCCGUUAAGCUCCCUGGAUAUUGUGGAGGCAAUUGGACCACGGGUGGGCAAGCUCUCAGAGGAGGCAACCAUGUAAUUACUCUCUCACUAACAGUCUUCAGAUAACGGUACUACAAAUGAGGAUUGAGGCUUUUGUCUGAGAUUGAGGAUGAGGUGUACUCAGCCCUAACUUUGGAGGCUGCAGUUGGACAGGUGACCUAUAUUUAUUUUUCAACAGGCAGUUAAUGGCUUUUGUUUGUUUGUUUUCGGAGAAAGCCCCCCCCCCCCAAAAAAAAAAAAAAGGCCCGGGCUAACCAGGAACUUUCUGUAUACCAUGGUAGCCUGGAGCUCACACAGAGAUCCUCCAGCCUCUGCCUCUUGUUUGCUGAGAUUAAAGGAAUGAUCCACCCCACCCAAAAGUUAGAGGAAGUUUAAUUGUAGAUGGGGUUAGCUUUAUUUCCGCAUAUCAGAUGGUUGAACCAUGAUAUAGCAUGCUGAACUGAUCUGCCCAGUCUGUUUUCUUCUGGUUCGUGUGAACCCAUCCUUGGUUGCCAUCUGCUGGCGGAGAGCAGCAGUUCUCUACAUCCCAAACUCCUGGGCUACAUGGGUAGUUUGUCAACUCAGAGCUGUUUGGGAGAUCAGGUCUUUUACAGAUUCUCACUACCUAUUCAGUGAGGAGAGGCUGGACUAUAAGGGGCUCCUCAGAGAGCUCUCCCCUGAAAGCACCUUUGUUCUAGGGAUUCCCACCCUGGUUGGAGAGUUCCCAAGCCUUCAAUGUUCUGCAGGAUAGACCUGGUUGAAUCUUGUGGUAUUCCUGUUCCCCCUGGGCUUGACAUGACCAUUACCAUCUUUUUGUUCCUUAGUGCGGGGCAUUAAGUCUAGGACCACAUAUUUACUAGGUAAACUCCGUUGAGCUAGCCCCAACUUCAUCAAUUACUUUGGUUAUAUUGAGUUGGCCAGUGUAACCAUAAAAUAAAAUUUUUUGAGGCAAGAUCUGUUACCCAGGUUGUCCUGUUAGCCAUCAUAAAGCGGAGGGCUUGUGGUGACUUACUGACCUUGCCCUUAAGGGUAAUGAAAAAUAAAAAGAAAUUAUAUAAUAGGUAGUUAGGUAUACAAUACUGAGGUGUUCACAUUUCCUCUUCGUGUGGGGGACAUUUUGGUCACCUUCAAGUCCUUCCUGAUCAUCUGUGUAUGGUUUUAGAAAUGCUGAAAUUUAAGGUAAAAAAACGGUUGAGUGUUGGGACUCUUCAGUCACCCAUGUUCUUGUAAAUGUUACAUCUCUGAGGGGAAAGGCUUCCCCAGUGGAAGAGCUGCAACUAUGAGGGGGAAGGUUUCCCCACUGCAAGUGUUACAGCUCUGAAGGAAAAGGUAUCCUGGCAGUUGGGAGCCAAGGAACACCACAAAGCCACACAACAAACCUCACACAAGAGAUUUAUUGGGAGGGUAAAAUUCAGGAGGUGUCUGACUCUGCUUGGGUGAGAAGCAGCAAAGAAUUAAGCAGAAGACAGGAUUUAUAUAGGGCUUCUUGGGGGCGUUACUUUCCACUGUGAAGGUUUCCACUGUGGGGAUUAUGGAUUUUCAAGGUCAGAGGUUGUGGCAAACUCAGUGUUCCCCCCAUCUUCACUUGUAGACUUACAUGAACUAAGUGUGAACUAAGUGUUUAGUUGAGAGGUUUUUUGUUUUUUGUUUUGUUUUUGAGACCUGUUUGGUCUCUUAAGUCUCCAUCCUCCAGCUUCAGUCUUCCCAGUGUUGAGAAUAUAGGCAGGUGAUACCAAGCUUAGCUGGUUUAACAUUUUGACUUAGAAAGUCCAAGGUCAUUUGUACAUUUACACCUUGUUAAGAGGGGCCAGCCCAAUACAACCAUAGUUGCUGGGGAAGUCCAGACAUAAGGGAACAUAGAUCAGUUCUGAGUACUGGAAGAAGUACAUUCAAGGAGGGUGGAAUUAAAAGCCAAUAGGAACACAAGUAGAGGAGGCUGGUGAGGAAGAGAUGGUACCGAUCCCAGUCUGAGGAGCCAGGAAGGCUCAGGACAUCUGCUUCAGGGUUUCCUGUGACUGUUGGGGAACUCAUUUGCUCAACAGAUAUCUUUGGUUCUGAGUCUUCCUGGCAUUACACAGCUCCAUCCAAGAGGUGCUGAUAGUAGAAUACUGUGUAUGAGGAGGCCUAGCUCAGAGAACUGUUUCUUACAGGGCCUUGAGCAGCUAGGUCCCACACAACAUCCCUCCCUACUCCAUUUGCGAGUGGACAGAUGUGUCUGAUUCCACUAGCAAAUGGGUGGGACAGAUUUGUCUUAAGUAGAGAGGAUGACUGCAGAAGGGUUUUUUUCUGCUGGGUUUUUGAGACAAGGUCUUACUAUGGACCCCCAACUGCUAUAUAGACAUGCUUGUCUCUGUCUCCCUCUCUCUUUUUCAGUUUUUCAAGAGAGGGUUGUAGCCCUGGCUAUCCUAGAAUCACACCUCACAGAUUUGCCUGCUUCUCCCUCCUAAGUGGUUGGAGAAAAGACAUGCCACAACUGCCUGGCUGUCUCUCUCUCUAGCGUUGGUAUCCAUCAAUAUAUCUGACCUUUUUUCCCCCUCCAAACUGUCUCUGUAGUCCCACACUGGCUUUUAACUCCACAUCCUCCUGUCUCAGCCUCCCAAAGUGCUGGGGUUACAGGUAUGCAUCACCUCCAGGUGACGAGACUGGAGUUCCCAAAGGGCUGGAGUCAACUUUUCACAUGUAUUCAGCCUCAAUAGCAGUCACAGCAAGGCCUCCUUCCCACCCUCCUCCCUCCUGCAGCCUAAUCCCCGAAGGCUCCUCUUUCAACAGAACUGCUGCUCUAGCUCUAAGCCAUCCCACUCUCCCCGGAUCUCCAGGCUUCCCCUGCCUACUGUGGCCACGUAGGGGAUAUAGAUGACCCAACCCUGCCCUGGGCUGCAGACAAGCUGUACUUCUACUUUAUGGCCCCUCUGAGAACCCAGAUUAAAUUCAAAUCUCUGUGCUGACACUCCAA
Long non-coding RNA from Meriones unguiculatus (Mongolian gerbil), 3298 nucleotides. RefSeq lists it as uncharacterized. NCBI's taxonomy places the organism in Eukaryota, Metazoa, Chordata, Mammalia, Rodentia, Muridae. The transcript has 2 exons. The record is from RefSeq and is a predicted model, not a curated record.